GAUGAAGAACGUAGCAAAAUGCGAUAAGUAAUGUGAAUUGCAGAAUUCAGUGAAUCAUCGAAUCUUUGAACGCACAUUGCGCCCGCUGGUAUUCCGGCGGGCAUGCCUGUUCGAGCGUCAUUUCAACCCUCAAGCCCCCGGGUUUGGUGUUGGGGAUCGGCUCUGCCCUUCUGGGCGGUGCCGCCCCCGAAAUACAUUGGCGGUCUCGCUGCAGCCUCCAUUGCGUAGUAGCUAACACCUCGCAACUGGAACGCGGCGCGGCCAUGCCGUAAAACCCCAACUUCUGAAUGUCGACCUCGGAUCAGGUAGGAAUACCCGCUGAACUUAAGCAUAUCAAUAAGCGGAGGA
RNAcentral lists this unclassified non-coding RNA (348 nucleotides) under soil metagenome. RNAcentral's name for it is "partial contains 5.8S ribosomal RNA, internal transcribed spacer 2, and large subunit ribosomal RNA". The stretch from base 1 to 120 matches the Rfam family "5.8S ribosomal RNA", at positions 35 to 154 of the family's 154-position model. The record is from RNAcentral.